This 373-nucleotide ribosomal RNA is filed under the name uncultured organism. RNAcentral's name for it is "bacterial SSU rRNA". It matches the Rfam family "Bacterial small subunit ribosomal RNA", at positions 526 to 896 of the family's 1533-position model. The record is from RNAcentral.
CGGGGGGAGCAAGCGUUGUUCGGAUUCACUGGGCGUAAAGGGCGCGUAGGCGGCCACCGCAAGUCGACUGUGAAAUCUCCGGGCUUAACCCGGAAAGGUCAGCCGAUACUGCGGGGCUAGAGUGCAGAAGGGGCAACUGGAAUUCUCGGUGUAGCGGUGAAAUGCGUAGAUAUCGAGAGGAACACCUGCGGCGAAGGCGGGUUGCUGGGCUGACACUGACGCUGAGGCGCGAAAGCUAGGGGAGCGAACGGGAUUAGAUACCCCGGUAGUCCUAGCCUUAAACGAUGAAUGCUUGGUGUCUGGGGUUUUAUAGUCCCCGGGUGCCGUCGCUAACGCUUUAAGCAUCCGCCUGGGGAGUACGGUCGCAAGACUG